GAUCCUCCAGUGAAGUGAGAAGCUUUAUAGUCCUGUGAGUUGAAGACUGCAGGACUCAGAUCUGUCAGUCAACACAGCAGGAAGCACAAUCACCAUGACUGUCAUCACCAUCCUCAUCUGGACGCUGGUCUGCUGCUGUUUCACAGGAUGCAGCGGUCAGGUGACUGUGACUCAGCCUCCAGAAGUGACAUUUACUCCAGGAUCCACUGCCACUCUGACCUGUAAAACCAGCCAAGAUGUUUACAGAUACAGUGGUGGAGAACAGGGUAUGUUCUGGUACCAACAGAAAUCUGGAGAGACUCCAAAGCUCCUAAUAAGAUAUGUGAGCACACGUGAAUCAGGAAUACCAGCUCGGUUCAGUGGCAGUGGAAGCGGCUCUGACUUCACUUUGACCAUCAGUGGAGUUCAGACUGAAGAUGCAGCAGUUUACUACUGUCAGAGUGUACAUAAUAUAGGCAGUAACUGGCCGGUGACAUUUACUCCAGGAUCCACUGUGUCUCUGACCUGUAAAACCAGCCAAAAUGUUGCAACUUGUAGUGGUAGUCCAUGUAUGUUCUGGUACCAACAGAAAUCUGGGGAAACUCCAAAGCUCCUAAUAAGACAAGUGAGCACACGUGAAUCAGGAACACCAGCUCGGUUCAGUGGCAGUGGAAGCGGCUCUGACUUCACUUUGACCAUCAGUGGAGUUCAGACUGAAGAUGCAGCAGUUUACUACUGUAAGAGUGUACAUGUAAUAAACAGUGCUGAUGUGAUCACACGGUGAUUUGUAGUCGUACAAAAACCUUCCUCAGUCAGA
Toxotes jaculatrix (banded archerfish) is the source of this 796-nucleotide non-coding RNA. The record is from the annotation of a RefSeq genome assembly. Lineage: Eukaryota; Metazoa; Chordata; Actinopteri; Toxotidae.